Molecule: ribosomal RNA, 253 nt
Filed under: uncultured bacterium
Lineage: Bacteria
Description: partial 16S ribosomal RNA
Rfam family: Bacterial small subunit ribosomal RNA
Source: RNAcentral
UACGUAGGGUGCAAGCGUUGUCCGGAAUUAUUGGGCGUAAAGAGCUCGUAGGCGGUUUGUCGCGUCGAAUGUGAAAACCCGGGGCUCAACCCCGGGCCUGCAUUCGAUACGGGCAGACUAGAGUUCGGUAGGGGAGUCUGGAAUUCCUGGUGUAGCGGUGAAAUGCGCAGAUAUCAGGAGGAACACCGGUGGCGAAGGCGGGACUCUGGGCCGAUACUGACGCUGAGGAGCGAAAGCGUGGGUAGCAAACAGG